CUUUUUUUUUUUUUUAUUUUUUUCAGCAUGCAAAUAUUUUCAUUGAAAUUUUGUUCUUCCAAAAAUAACUUUGGCUCUUGGCCUCAAUCAGCCAAUCCUGCCAGACAAAUUAAAAACAUAUGCGCAAAAUAAAUCAACAAAUGAAAAUUCUUCCAUAGGCAAUACAUGAGAUCAAGAAUCAGCCAAAAUUGAUAUCUUUUGUAGUUUCAAUUAGCCAAUUUAGGGCCUGUUUGGAAUUGUGGUUUCAGCCUUCUUUUUCAAAAAGCAAUAUUGUAGACGCUGCUAGAAAAAACAGUUUGAAAAGGAUGUUUAGCUGCCUUGGAGUUAUUAUGACUAAAAUAUGUCAAUUUAACUUAAAAUCUAUUUUUAAUGACAUCUAAAUAACGUAUUCAAUGUAGUACUUUUUUUAGCAGCAGUUCAAAAAAAAAUGCUAAACAAACCCAACAUGCAGCAUGUCAUGCUAAAAAAUCAGCAGAUUUCUAAAAUUAUCCAAAAUCUUACCAUAUGAAGAUUCAGCAAUUAGCAUGCGUGGAAAGCAUUCUGGUGUCCACCUAGACUUGCACUAGGUUGUACA
RNAcentral lists this unclassified non-coding RNA (574 nucleotides) under Hevea brasiliensis (rubber tree). The record is from RNAcentral. Lineage: Eukaryota; Viridiplantae; Streptophyta; Magnoliopsida; Malpighiales; Euphorbiaceae.